RNAcentral lists this transfer RNA (72 nucleotides) under Verrucomicrobiota bacterium. RNAcentral's name for it is "Verrucomicrobia bacterium (activated sludge metagenome) tRNA-Thr". It matches the Rfam family "tRNA". From Rfam's summary of the family: Transfer RNA (tRNA) molecules are approximately 80 nucleotides in length. Their secondary structure includes four short double-helical elements and three loops (D, anti-codon, and T loops). The record is from RNAcentral. Lineage: Bacteria; Pseudomonadati; Verrucomicrobiota.
GCCCAAGUAGCUCAGUGGUAGAGCAUUUGCAUGGUAAGUAAAAGGUCGUAGGUUCGAUUCCUAUCUUGGGCA